This is a non-coding RNA of Aedes aegypti (yellow fever mosquito), 47 nucleotides long. The record is from Rfam. Lineage: Eukaryota; Metazoa; Arthropoda; Insecta; Diptera; Culicidae.
CAAUCGGCCCUUUACAGGGCCAACAAAUGUUUUCUACAUAGUUAUUU